RNAcentral lists this ribosomal RNA (510 nucleotides) under uncultured bacterium. RNAcentral's name for it is "bacterial SSU rRNA". It matches the Rfam family "Bacterial small subunit ribosomal RNA", at positions 8 to 507 of the family's 1533-position model. The record is from RNAcentral.
AGAGUUUGAUCAUGGCUCAGAGUGAACGCUGGCGGCAGGCCUAAUACAUGCAAGUCGAACGGCAGCACAGCAGAGCUUGCUCUGUGGGUGGCGAGUGGCGGACGGGUGAGGAAUACGUGGGAAUCUGCCCAGUCGUGGGGGAUAACGUAGGGAAACUUACGCUAAUACCGCAUGCGCCCUUCGGGGGAAAGCCGGGGACCUUCGGGCCUGGCGCGAUUGGAUGAGCCCACGUCGGAUUAGCUAGUUGGCGGGGUAAAGGCCCACCAAGGCGACGAUCCGUAGCUGGUCUGAGAGGAUGAUCAGCCACACUGGAACUGAGACACGGUCCAGACUCCUACGGGAGGCAGCAGUAGGGAAUAUUGGACAAUGGGCGCAAGCCUGAUCCAGCCAUGCCGCGUGAGUGAAGAAAGCCCUCGGGUUGUAAAGCUCUUUUGUCCGGAAAGAAAAGCGCCGGGUUAAUACCCUGGUGUCCUGACGGUACCGGAAGAAUAAGCACCGGCUAACUUCGUG